GACGAACGCUGGCGGCGUGCUUAACACAUGCAAGUCGAACGGUAAGGCCCCUCGGGGUACACGAGUGGCGAACGGGUGAGUAACACGUGGGUGAUCUGCCCUGCACUUCGGGAUAAGCCUGGGAAACUGGGUCUAAUACCGGAUAGGACUCCUGGCUUCAUGGUUGGGGGUGGAAAGCUUUUGCGGUGUGGGAUGGGCCCGCGGCCUAUCAGCUUGUUGGUGGGGUAAUGGCCUACCAAGGCGACGACGGGUAGCCGGCCUGAGAGGGUGACCGGUCACACGGGAGCUGAGAUACGGCCCAGACUCCUACGGGAGGCAGCAGUGGGGAAUAUUGCGCAAUGGGCGCAAGCCUGGUGCAGCGACGCCGAGUGAGGGAUGACGGCCUACGGGUUGUAAACCUCUUUCAGCUAUGACGAAGCGCAAGUGACGGUAGUAGCAGAAGAAGGACCGGCCAACUACGUGCCAGCAGCCGCCGUAA
RNAcentral lists this ribosomal RNA (478 nucleotides) under uncultured bacterium. RNAcentral describes it as "partial 16S ribosomal RNA". It matches the Rfam family "Bacterial small subunit ribosomal RNA", at positions 28 to 523 of the family's 1533-position model. The record is from RNAcentral.